Molecule: long non-coding RNA, 943 nt
Organism: Raphanus sativus (radish)
Lineage: Eukaryota; Viridiplantae; Streptophyta; Magnoliopsida; Brassicales; Brassicaceae
Exons: 3
Source: RefSeq, a predicted model, not a curated record
ACAAAAAAGGUAAACCGGAGUUGCAACAAAUCAUUAAAAAUAAUAUUUUCUUUUUGAGGUCAAUUUGCUUCCUCCCUUCUUUCUUUCUUUCGAGUUCUAUUAUCGGACGUCGUCUCCUUCUCUUCCUAUUCACACCUCCUUCACGACUUUGACGAAUAGCAAUCGCAUCAUCAUCUUCUUCUCUCGAUUUCUCUUAGCUUUCUAGACGAUGAAAACCUAAGUGAAACUCGGUCCCAUCAUAUCUCUACGGCGUUUAUGAUUAUCCUUCUCCAGGUGAGAUUACAACGAAAUCGCCGCUGAAAACUGGUUUACAUGCUCAUCUUCUAGAUUAAUUUAUAUUCAGCAUGCACCAUGGAGGGAAUCUACAGCUAUGAAUACAAACGCAAAGGGGGUCUGAUUACCCCCUUGGAGGUGGACUGGACUCAGGAACGUUUACAUGGCUCAAUCAUAUAGUCAGCCACAGGGUUAAAUUCUCUAAAACCACAAAUAUAUUGUGAGAUUACAAACAGAUUCCUCCUACUACGUCCCAAUCCUAAACUAACAAUUCUUUCUUUCAUACAUUUUUGGUGAACCAUUUCUUAAACGAAGAACUAGACUGACUCAUUUCCAUCUCCUGAGCUGAGAGCACAAUGUUUCUUUUAUCAAUCCAGAGUCCUUGGUGGUUUUCAUCAUCACCAACCACCAUAACUUACAUACAGCUUUCUCCUUCAUCCCUGUUGCAUUGCAUGCUCAUGCGAAUACGGUGGAUCUCCAUCUGGUGAGUUGGACAAAGCAAGUAAACCAUUUUUUAGAGAAAAAAAAUCAAAUAAUGUUUGCAACAAAGAAAGCACACAGUCCAAGGUUCCAGAACAUAAUCCAUUUCUUAAACUAUUCAUGUAUUUACGACUUGCAAAUAUAGUGAUUUACACGCUGAGCAAAGUAUAUAACAUGUUUAUUUGUGCGA